This 253-nucleotide ribosomal RNA is filed under the name uncultured bacterium. Its description in RNAcentral is "partial 16S ribosomal RNA". It matches the Rfam family "Bacterial small subunit ribosomal RNA", at positions 524 to 776 of the family's 1533-position model. The record is from RNAcentral.
UACGUAGGUGGCAAGCGUUGUCCGGAUUUACUGGGCGUAAAGAGCGCGCAGGCGGUCGUUCAAGUCGCGUGUGAAAGCCCCCGGCUCAACUGGGGAGGGUCACGCGAUACUGAUCGACUGGAAGGCAGGAGAGGGUAGUGGAAUUCCUGGUGUAGCGGUGAAAUGCGCAGAUAUCAGGAGGAACACCGGUGGCGAAGGCGGGUCUCUGGGCCGAUACUGACGCUGAGGAGCGAAAGCGUGGGGAGCGAACAGG